CCUUUGAGUGUAAACGGGGACUGCGAUUAUGAUGUGAUAGUCAUUCUCAUCAUUGUUACCUAAGACAUUAGCCCCGGCAACCACAGAGAGAUAUUUUCCAGCUGGUUUUGAGGAAGUGAGCUGCCAUGUACUAGGCCACGUGGCAAGGGCCUGGUUGGGGACCUCCAGGGGUUGAGAGCAUCCUCUGGACAACAUGGAAAAAGAAAAUGAAAAUGGUGACCUCAGCCCUAUAGCUAGAAGGAAUUGAAUCCUGUCAACAACGAUACUCAUCACUCACUGCAGAUGUUACUUUAAGACAUUCUGGAGCAGCGUCAUGUGCAGUCAUGUGAAAGUAUAUUCCAAACCCAGAACCUGAGCACAGAUUGGGACUGAGAAACACUUGUCUAGAUUGUCAGGCAAUCUGUAACAUCAGCAGUGGAUGGAAAGAAGGAGAAAGAUGAGUUUUAUGGACGCUAACCCAUCUAUAUGGCUUUGGAAAAUAAAGUACUGCUGUUUUUUUUUGUAAAGGAUUUUUAUUUUUUAUCUUUACAUACAUCUCCC
This 540-nucleotide long non-coding RNA is filed under the name Homo sapiens (human). Its description in RNAcentral is "HSALNT0325495". The record is from RNAcentral. Lineage: Eukaryota; Metazoa; Chordata; Mammalia; Primates; Hominidae.